UGCCCUGGAGUGGGGGAUAACUAGUCGAAAGACUAGCUAAUACCGCAUACGAUCUACGGAUGAAAGUGGGGGAUCGCAAGACCUCAUGCUCGUGGAGCGGCCGAUAUCUGAUUAGCUAGUUGGUGGGGUAAAGGCCUACCAAGGCAUCGAUCAGUAGCUGGUCUGAGAGGACGACCAGCCACACUGGGACUGAGACACGGCCCAGACUCCUACGGGAGGCAGCAGUGGGGAAUUUUGGACAAUGGGGGCAACCCUGAUCCAGCAAUGCCGCGUGAGUG
Molecule: ribosomal RNA, 278 nt
Filed under: uncultured Herbaspirillum sp.
Lineage: Bacteria; Pseudomonadati; Pseudomonadota; Betaproteobacteria; Burkholderiales; Oxalobacteraceae
Description: partial 16S ribosomal RNA
Rfam family: Bacterial small subunit ribosomal RNA
Source: RNAcentral